UCUCUGAUUUGGUGCAGGGUGGGUGGGAGCUGAAAACACCACAAGCUCCAGGAUUUCCCCCAUCCCUGUGGGGGAAUUUCUCACCAUGGUCCUGGUGAGGGACCAAUGCCCUGUCCCCUCGCUGCUUCCCAAAGCUGAUCUUUGAGCUGUAGCUCUGCACUUGUUUUCUGUUGACUGAAGUCAGGCAGCACUAUUGUUUGGGUGUGAUUCAGAAUGAAUAUUGAGUGUGCCUCUAAGAUAAAGUCAUUAUUUAGGAGCUCAUUAAAGUACUGGCCUUGAAAAAAUUUCCCACUGCUAAUAUCCUCUUCCAUCACUGUGUCAAGGAUCGUGGCUAGUUUAGAAAAAGAGAUGUGGGCUCGUGGUGCUGCUGUAGCACCUCUCUCCUCCUACCUGGGGGAUGCUUACUUCUUUAAGCUUAGAGCUAAGAAAGCACCAGGUGUUAACAUGAACUGUAAAUUGCUUAUUUAGCAAUAGUCCCUCUGCAAAGUCCCUCAGCACCCUCAUUUCCAGAAAAGACCCUGAGGCUUUCUUCUCUCUGCUCCCAGAAGGCUGCAUCAAGCGUGCAAGAACAAGGCAGCGCUCAAGGAGAGAAUUAACUCGUAGCUCUCAGACAGCUCGUGUCCUGAAGCGGAAAUUACAGCUCCAGCCAUUUAUGUGAUUUCAGGCUAAUUUCUGCCAGUACUUGUUCUGGUAAGUACUGCUACUACCCUGAGCAGCUCCGAGGAAGGCUUCUUUAAUAAGUGCUAAUGUAAGGUGUAGUAGAGCUUCACUGGGUGGGCCACAUGUAAGUCAGGUGCUGAAAUGUGUGAAGAACUGCUUUAGGAACCAAGCCACUUGUUUGUGACGUGAAGAGCAGCACAACCCGAGGUGUGUGCCUCAGAAUCAUGCCCCACAGUGAGCCCCGGGGCCAGCUCUGCUGUGGCACGACCUGCAGCUCUGCAACCCACCUGCAGCCUGCCCAUGACAGUCCCUGCAGAAACCAGCGGUGAAUUCCUUGCAGAGCUGCCAAGGAGGGACUGUGAAAUUAGCAUCAAGGUAUUUUCUGGCUGUUUGCUUGAAAAGAUGCUGUCUCUGAUUAUUAGUUUGAAAUUCACUGGUAGCAGCUGUAACCAGCAUACUUUGCAUGGUGAAACCCUGCAGUCUGUCAUUGCGAUCACAUCUCUCCAAAUUCAUUUGCAAGUAAAGCACCGGAUCGGGGGGUGCAGAGGAAACUGGAGUGAGUGUGGCAUCUACAGGGCUGCUGGUAGCAGGUGUGAGCGAGCAGCCCUCGGUGGAACCCAUUGCUGCCCUGGCAUCACCUAUGUGCAGCACCUGUGUGCUCCUCUGGCUGGACAGGGGCUGAAGGACAGAGUCUGGGAAACACCAAGUGUGCGGAUAAAGUAUAAAAAUGGAGAUAAACACACUUAGUUGUAAUCAGGAUGUAAAUACCUGAGCCAAUAAACUGCAACUCAUGCAAUUAAUUUUACUCUCUGAGGCAGUCUCCAUCACUUGUCAGGGCUUGUGUGAUGCGGCUGAGCCUUCACAUAGCUGCUUGCAGGACAGAGCCCUCGUUUCUGAACUGCCAGUGUUUUGCAUGUGGCAGAUGGUGGAGGCUCGUCAAGCAUAACUGUGGAGCAUCGAUGCUCCAGCUCUCCUGCAGGGAGCAUUGUAUCCUGAUGGGCAACUCAGGAACACCAGGAUCCUAUAGGAAAGAGGCUUCUUUUGAAGAUCCCAACCAUAUGAUUUAUGGUAUAUAAUGCUUGCACUGUGUGAUUCUGCUCUAGAGGCUUGCUGUUGUUGGUGCUUAAAUUUGUUGUUUAGCACAUCACAGGACUUGGAGCAAUGCUGUUUUGGCAAAGUAUGUGGGAAGACUAUGUAAACACUACACAAGCUUUCUAUGUACUCCAUGUGUCUCCUUCAGUGUAUUUAAAUGAUCCAGCCAUGCAGUUACAGCACACCUAUUAAUACAAGUUAAUACAAAGGCAUAAUUAUUUUAUGGGAGCACUUAGGUUAUAUUUUUAUAAAGAGAACAAGAGGAUCCCCUGAGACACUGUUGUACAAAUAAUGAAGGACAGAAGCUCAAUUAGUGAAUGAACAGAAAGGAAAAGUGAGGCAUGAAUAAUGUAAAAUAGAGCAUAACUCAGCAGGCAUAUUAGUUUGUAUAAUAUACUGCUUCUUAUACGUUAAAAGGCUGCAUUGAGGAAUGAAGCAGCUGCUUUUCCUAUGGCAGUUUUCUAAACUGGGGUUGUCAGAAUAUUUUCUUUUGCAGUUUUCUGACUUGAGACAAGAAAAGUCGAUUCCUUAAUUCUAAAUUGAUGGAAGUGUCACUUUGAUACUUCCAUUUACUUUUUUCAUUAUAGAAAGAGCAGAAAUUGUCCAGAAUUAUUUCUUCAUUUCACGUUCCCCUGAGACUACAACAACAACAACAAGUGAUAUUUUUUGUCCAUAUAAUUUUAGAUUAUUAUUUUUCAGGUGGCGAUAUAUAGAAGCAUGAGCCUCAAUGGUUGACCAGAAAGUAAAGAAACCAAGAACUGAGCCUACAGAAAUAAACCUAAUCCCUAUCCUUUUUUCCUUAGAAGCCAACAGCAUGUUUCCAACAAGGCUGCUACUGCUGGCUUCUAAAGAUCUCCUGUUCUGGACUGACUAUGCAGAAGCAGCCCCCAUUAGCAGGCACAAGGAACUUUCUUGUGUGAUGCCCCCAUCUAUGAGCCCUGGUGCAGGCCAGGUGUCCCACAGAGGUCCAGCUGACAGAGCUGAAGUGACAGAGAAUCUGCCACAUCCUUGGGCACAUUGUCCCGGUGGUUAAUUAAUUGCCUUAGCUGUUCUGCACCAAGAACAACUCUAUUUCUCUGUAGAAAUGCCUUUGGGUUCCAGCCACUGGGCCUCAAGAUGCUCUUGUCUGUCACAUUAAAGUGCCUCAUCUUAUUACUCCUCUCUCUGCGUAGGCACUUGCUGACCACUCUCAAGUCACCUCUUCACCUUCCUCGGGACAGACUAAAUGGAUUGAAUGUCUCUAGCUCCUGGCUGUUUAUCAACCUCCCAUUCUUCUUGCUUCUGCUGCCUGAAACCUCUCCAGUCUGCUCUCAGCCUCCUCUCCAGCUGGACACAAAGAUACACAUGCAUGUCUUGUGCUGUGGUCAGAGAGCCCCUGCCU
This is a long non-coding RNA of Oxyura jamaicensis (ruddy duck), 3133 nucleotides long. RefSeq lists it as uncharacterized. The record is from RefSeq and is a predicted model, not a curated record. The transcript is spliced from 4 exons. NCBI's taxonomy places the organism in Eukaryota, Metazoa, Chordata, Aves, Anseriformes, Anatidae.